GGGAGCCGGACUUCAUCCCCGACUCCGGCUGCAGGAAGCCUUCGUCCGGACUCCUACGGGAGCCAGACUUUAUCCCCGACUCCGGCUAUAGGAAGCCUUCGUCCGGACUCCUAUGGAAAUCAAACUUCGUCUACAGAGAGCCUCUGGCUGGGCUCCUACAGCAAAUAGCCCUCGCCUAUAGUACUAACGCUCAAGGCACCCA
RNAcentral lists this long non-coding RNA (202 nucleotides) under Elaeis guineensis (African oil palm). Its description in RNAcentral is "long non-coding RNA (EGUI_LNC069510)". Lineage: Eukaryota; Viridiplantae; Streptophyta; Magnoliopsida; Arecales; Arecaceae. The record is from RNAcentral.